Molecule: ribosomal RNA, 253 nt
Filed under: uncultured bacterium
Lineage: Bacteria
Description: partial 16S ribosomal RNA
Rfam family: Bacterial small subunit ribosomal RNA
Source: RNAcentral
UACGUAGGGUGCGAGCGUUGUCCGGAAUUAUUGGGCGUAAAGGGCUCGUAGGCGGUUUGUCGCGUCGGGAGUGAAAACAUCUGGCUUAACUGGGUGCUUGCUUUCGAUACGGGCAGACUAGAGGUAUGCAGGGGAGAACGGAAUUCCUGGUGUAGCGGUGAAAUGCGUAGAGAUCCGGAGGAACCCCAGAGGCGAAGGCGGCGUCCUGGCUCGCAUCUGACGCUCAGACACGACAGCAUGGGGAGCGAACGGG